This 94-nucleotide ribosomal RNA is filed under the name Caerostris extrusa. The record is from RNAcentral. Lineage: Eukaryota; Metazoa; Arthropoda; Arachnida; Araneae; Araneidae.
UGAAUAUACCGGUUCUCGUUAGAUCACCGAAGUCACAUCAUUGGGCGUGGUCAGUUCUUGGGUGGGUGACCACCUGGGAACACCGCGUGCCGUU